This 978-nucleotide long non-coding RNA is filed under the name Gossypium barbadense (sea-island cotton). Its description in RNAcentral is "long non-coding RNA (GBAR_LNC008690)". The record is from RNAcentral. Lineage: Eukaryota; Viridiplantae; Streptophyta; Magnoliopsida; Malvales; Malvaceae.
UUCAAUUAUCCUUUCAAAUCAUCACUUUACUUGCUUCGAUUACAGCUAGUAUUUAACUCCUAAGCUAAUGCUAUUAGCUUAAAUUGGCUAUUCAGACAUGAUUGAUAUCUUCAUAAUACUUUGAAGAUAUAAUUAAAAUGUUUUGAAGUUUGAAAUGGAUUUAAAAUAUGGAUUGUAGUGAAAAAGAGUAACUAUAUUAUGGAUACUCUUAUACUAAGAGCUAGAUAACAUUUUGCAUCUUUUACUAAAAAAUGGACAAGUUAAACCAUAUAUAUUAGAUUAAAGAGUAAAUUAAAUUUUUUAUUAAAAUUGUUAUUGAUUUAUACUAUUAAAAAUUAGCGUGAAUAAUAGAAUAAUCAAAUAGGGACACUUGAUGUGCCACAUGUACAAAAACUAAUUUUUAACACAAAAUGGAUUGAAUUUUUAACAAAAGAACCAAUUUACUGUUUGAGCGUAGAAAGACUAAUUUACUCAUUUUUUAAAUAAAAAAAAUAAAAUGCAAUUCGAUUUUUAAUAUGGAGGACUCCAUUUACUUUUACCUGAAAAAUACAUUUGGUACAAUUAACCCAAUCAUCAGCAUGUGAUAUGGUUCAAUAAUUUGAUAGCCAAACCAUGUUCUUGGCAGCCGGAACUUUGAAUUCCGAUGAGCCAAGAGACCUUGAUCUGGCGUACAAAGAUCGGUUUUUCCUCCAACCAUUGACUCCGGCACAAGCGGCUCAGAGGGCAAAGGAAUCAGCCAAAGACAUCCUUGGUGUCAAGACCUUGAUCGACAAAAAAGCAUGGCCCUAUGUCAUGAAUGACCUUCGUCUCAAGGCUGAGUACCUCCGCUUUGACCUUAAAACUGUUAUUUCUUCCAAGCCCAAAGAUGAAAAGAAAUCUCUCGAUGAACUCACUAAAAAGCUCUUCAAUACCAUUGAUGGAGUAAGUUUUGAAGUAUACAGAUUAAUUUAUAUUAUUUAACGAAAUAUUAUAACUUAC